AUGCACGCUGGCGGCGUGCCUAAUACAUGCCAGUCGAGCGAACAGACGAGGAGCUUGCUCCUCUGACGUUAGCGGCGGACGGGUGAGUAACCCGUGGAUAACCUACCUAUAAGACUGGGAUAACUUCGGGAAACCGGAGCUAAUACCGGAUAAUAUAUUGAACCGCAUGGUUCAAUAGUGAAAGACGGUUUUGCUGUCACUUAUAGAUGGAUCCGCGCCGCAUUAGCUAGUUGGUAAGGUAACGGCUUACCAAGGCAACGAUGCGUAGCCGACCUGAGAGGGUGAUCGGCCACACUGGAACUGAGACACGGUCCAGACUCCUACGGGAGGCAGCAGUAGGGAAUCUUCCGCAAUGGGCGAAAGCCUGACGGAGCAACGCCGCGUGAGUGAUGAAGGUCUUCGGAUCGUAAAACUCUGUUAUUAGGGAAGAACAAAUGUGUAAGUAACUAUGCACGUCUUGACGGUACCUAAUCAGAAAGCCACGGCUAACUACGUG
Molecule: ribosomal RNA, 496 nt
Filed under: uncultured bacterium
Lineage: Bacteria
Description: partial 16S ribosomal RNA
Rfam family: Bacterial small subunit ribosomal RNA
Source: RNAcentral